This 142-nucleotide non-coding RNA is filed under the name unclassified sequences. RNAcentral describes it as "Polynucleobacter-1 RNA". It matches the Rfam family "Polynucleobacter-1 RNA". RNAcentral also lists the same sequence under 1 other name. The record is from RNAcentral.
GGCUUGUGUCAGCCGGUUAACAGACACCCAUAAAACCUGGCACUUGGGUUGCACAGGGGACGGAAAUUCCGACGCAGUAGCGGAGACUUGUUGCCACUAUCCUUGACAGGACGCAAUUCAUGGUAUGAAAAGAAUUGGCACG